UUCUGCCCUCAAACUCCAUCUCCCAACAUGCCGCGGGCCCUUCCGCCACUCUGACUCUUGGACUUUCGGAAGUGUGGUUUAUACUGCGUUCCAGUCCCAGAAGAUCCUACCCGUGAACUACAUCGCCCAUGCAGCCAUGCUUUGGCAGUGCCUGUGGGAUUUGCUGCAGCCUUCGUGUUUGCAGUGAUGGGAACCAGAAGCUGACCUGAAGUCGAGUGGAGCAGUGGCAGAUGCUGGAAUGGGGGUUGAGGGGGACGAUGGCGACCGUGCGACGUCUCCUUCCGCUACUCAGAUUCCUGCCGCUUAGAGUCUGUGGAGAAGCCUUAACCCACGCAGAGGAGACUGAGGCCCCAUGAAGCAGUGGUGACAGUAAACCACAACCACUAGGUGGCUAGGAGCCAGGACCGCCCCAAAAGCCAGAGUGCAGCGGGGUGGCCUCCUCGAGUAGCGCACGCGCAAAUGAGGGGCCUCGCGGCCUCCGUAAAUACCAAAGGGCGCCUGCGCAGUUGGAACGUCUCAGGAUGGUCGCGCGAGGGCGCCUUAGGAAAGAUAACAGCAAUCAGCAGUGAUGAAGCGGUGCAAUCAUCAUCCCUCUGUAGUUUAUGGUUUGCAAAACACAGCCCUUUUUAUUGCCUCCCCUCAUUUGAUCCUCACAUUAUCCUAUUACAAAUGAGACAAGUCAGACAAAACCAGAGCCCCAGCGUCACAGAGUGUAACGGCCCAGAGAAGGAUCGGGAAGAUCCCAGAACUAGCACAAUCUCUGUGGUUGGCUUGCUGUGUGACUUGGGAUGAGCAAGAACUCCAGCCCAGGAACAAUGGCCCCUUUAUGGCAGCCGACAGACACAACUUUCUUUUUCAGUUUCUUUAAUCUCAAAGGUGGGUCUUCACUGUCCUGACUCAGAACGGUUUUCUUUCGCCUCCUGGAAGUAGAGAGGCCUCUGGGGAGAGAUCAGGAUCACUCUUUGGGUGUUGGGAGAGAUCAAGGGUCCACUCCAGAAACCCCCAAGCUGUUACUGUUGCUGAGGCUUUGUUGGCCUGAGUGCUGUGGGUAGACCCGGGGUCCUUGG
Long non-coding RNA from Heterocephalus glaber (naked mole-rat), 1067 nucleotides. The record is from Ensembl. NCBI's taxonomy places the organism in Eukaryota, Metazoa, Chordata, Mammalia, Rodentia, Bathyergidae.